GCAAGUCGAGCGCACUCUUCGGAGUGAGCGGCGGACGGGUUAGUAACGCGUGGGAACAUACCCUUUUCUACGGAAUAGCCUCGGGAAACUGAGAGUAAUACCGUAUACGCCCUUUUGGGGAAAGAUUUAUCGGUGAAGGAUUGGCCCGCGUUUGAUUAGAUAGUUGGUGGGGUAAUGGCCUACCAAGGCUGCGAUGGUUAGCUGGUUUGAGAGAAUGAUC
This 220-nucleotide ribosomal RNA is filed under the name uncultured bacterium. RNAcentral describes it as "partial 16S ribosomal RNA". It matches the Rfam family "Bacterial small subunit ribosomal RNA", at positions 57 to 305 of the family's 1533-position model. The record is from RNAcentral.